Molecule: unclassified non-coding RNA, 310 nt
Filed under: plant metagenome
Description: partial contains 5.8S ribosomal RNA, internal transcribed spacer 2, and large subunit ribosomal RNA
Rfam family: 5.8S ribosomal RNA (bases 1-105)
Source: RNAcentral
GAAAUGCGAUAAGUAGUGUGAAUUGCAGAAUUCAGUGAAUCAUCGAAUCUUUGAACGCACAUUGCGCCCCUUGGUAUUCCAUGGGGCAUGCCUGUUCGAGCGUCAUUUGUACCCUCAAGCUCUGCUUGGUGUUGGGUGUUUGUCCCCGUCUCCGCGCGUGGACUCGCCCCGAAGUGAUUGGCAGCCGGCGUACUGGUCCCGGAGCGCAGCACAUGUCGCGCAAACGAGUGCCUUGGUACGGCGGCGUCCAUAAGCCCCUCUCUCACGCUCUUGACCUCGGAUCAGGUAGGGAUACCCGCUGAACUUAAGC